This 603-nucleotide long non-coding RNA is filed under the name Homo sapiens (human). RNAcentral's name for it is "HSALNT0406629". The record is from RNAcentral. Lineage: Eukaryota; Metazoa; Chordata; Mammalia; Primates; Hominidae.
GCCAGGCUUCUGAGGUCCUGGAGACCCACAGCUAGGCUGGGAGCAGGAUGGCUGCUGUGAAGGUGGUAGCUGCGGAAGAAGUGGUGGCAGUGGUCACAGCCCUGGGAGAGAUGAAGGGGUCUACAUGGGCCAGCACUGAGACCUGUCAUGGAGGCCAACAGGAAUCCCCAUCCCUGGAGCCGUCUGCUGUCUCUUCCAGGGCAUGUUGAGAUGCCGUGUGAAUCCAGGUAUGAGUGGGUGUGGAGAACUUGACAGCCAUUUUCAUAAAAGAGAGAUUCUCUCACUGCCUUCUCACCCCAGUGCGCAAGAAUCCCAAAGAGAGUGAAACAGCAAAGAAAGAAAAGAAGAGAGAGCAUGGAGAAGUCCCACCUAAGAAUUUGUUCAGCUUAUACAAUUGCAAAAAGUGUGUGUGUGUGUCCGCACUGCUGUUGAAUAUCGGCUAUUUCUACUCCUUACAUAAGACUAACGGAUGGGGUAAAAUCUGCUGAGUGUAUCAAAGACCCAUUUUUAAUUCAUAGUGGGUUGGAAAAAUAAAACUUACUUUUUUGAGAGAGAAAUCUACAAGGAGUUUUUGGAAGCCAACCAGUUUAAUAAGCACAGGCU